This 301-nucleotide ribosomal RNA is filed under the name uncultured bacterium. RNAcentral describes it as "partial 16S ribosomal RNA". It matches the Rfam family "Bacterial small subunit ribosomal RNA", at positions 509 to 807 of the family's 1533-position model. The record is from RNAcentral.
CAGCCGCCGCGGUAAUACGGAGGGGGCUAGCGUUGUUCGGAAUUACUGGGCGUAAAGCGCACGUAGGCGGCUUGGUAAGUUAGAGGUGAAAGCCCGGGGCUCAACCCCGGAAUUGCCUUUAAGACUGCCGAGCUAGUAGGUGAGAGAGGUGAGUGGAAUUCCGAGUGUAGAGGUGAAAUUCGUAGAUAUUCGGAAGAACACCAGUGGCGAAGGCGGCUCACUGGCUCAUUCUAGACGCUGAGGUGCGAAAGCGUUGGGAGCAAACAGGAUUAGAUACCCGCGUAGUCCCUGUCUCUUAUAC